Long non-coding RNA from Numida meleagris (helmeted guineafowl), 1697 nucleotides. RefSeq lists it as uncharacterized. The record is from RefSeq and is a predicted model, not a curated record. The transcript has 4 exons. Lineage: Eukaryota; Metazoa; Chordata; Aves; Galliformes; Numididae.
UGGCCAGCUCCAGGCCAUGGAUAUACCAGUGUGUGUAGAACUCACCAGGGACAAGAGGAGCCAAGCUGUGACACUCGGGGACGCAGCAGGGCAGUCAGCCACACCGCCCUGCCAGCACUGAGUGAGGCUGGGAGGUUCAGGAUCAUCUUCAGCAUGGAUCCCUACCUUCCUGAAAGCUGCUGUCUGCCAUGCCUCCUGGCGCAACUGUGCAUGCUCCUCCAUUGUAUUUUGUCAGGAUUAUCUGGUUUAAUUUAAACACUUACUAUUUUCUUACAUCAGUGGCUUUGACAGAGCAGACGAGGAGCAGCCAGAGGUGGAGGCGAGCGUCACAGAGAGCAGGCACCCAUCACCUCCCACCACCUCAGCCUGGGCCCAGGCACUGGAAAUGCACUUUUUGUUUGGCUGAGUUGACUUCAGUUGCUUUGCAGCGUCAUAGCAAAUUAAAUUCACAUCCUACCUUAAUCCAGAACUAAUUCCGUACUUAUCUUCUCAAGUUAUUUUCUGGUUUGAACACCAGGCCACGGCCCGCAUUGCCUGGCUUAGAGAUGCUUGCUGUACAAGCUUUGCAGCUCUUGCCAUCAGAUGGCACAAACCACUCCUAGCAGGAAUGUGUCCCUUGUUUCCCUUCCUCUGGGCUGCAGAAGAAAAGCUGUGGGUGUGCUGCUGGGGAAAAGUCCAGGGCAGUCAUUGAGGCCGCAGCCUUCCUGGCUGCCUCACCAAGAUGGCCCGUGCUCUCAGCCACAGCAGCAGAAAGCCAUACUGCGUGAAGGGGUGCUGACGGAGGAGCUUCCCUGAGGUGAUCUGUCCAACAACUUGGGCUUGCAGCUAGAGCAUGACACUGGCAGCAAGGAGCAGAAACAGGAGCACAGCGGGCGGAGCAGGAGCAUCGGUUGAGCUCCAUCCACAUCCUGUCACCCAUCUGGGACCCUGGGGCAAGGCGAGAUCUCCCUUAUUGUAAAGCCUAUGUAGAUGACAUAGGUUUGUACAUUUGAACCAAGGUCCAUACUUUGGCAUUGUGACCUAUGUCACACUACAUCCACAUAGCCAGAGCUGCUGCAGUGGGAGGAGUGCUGCCGCUAAAAGGCCUGCACCCGGGGAAGCUGGUGAACCCUGCACUUGGCAAACAGCACUAGCAGCAAGAACUGGCAAAGGGGAAAGCAAAGAUACAAAGUGCAGAGAGACGGGGUAACAUUUACAUGAGAAACAAUCCGCUCUCCAGCCCCCACCCACGGCGCUUCCCCUCGUUUCAGGAGCUGCCGGAGCGCAGGAAGGGAACGGUUCCUGGCAGAGGGACAGCGCUGCGAGGAGGCAGACGCGUUUCCAGGGCCGGAGAGAACGUAUGUGAGAAGGGGACGUGGGGGGAAUGGGGCCGAGGGCCGCCGCAGGGCUGCGCACUGCGCCCGGGCCUCACUGGGGCACGCGGCCUGCGUGGGGACGGGGCUGUGGGGCACGCGAUGCACACACACGAACACACGGAUAGAGGUGUGAGCACGCAGACGCUAAUAUUGCUGCCUACCGACGCCGAGGAUGUAAGAUGCAGUUUACGGGCCUAGCGCAACCCGCUCCUAUAAAUAAUACAUUCCGAUCACCGUGGCCUCAAAAUGUCAAUACCGCGCAGCCCCGCACAUUUGCAUAUCUUGAACUGCCUCAACUUGAAGCACGUCAGCUAUAUGCUUCUGUUUGUACUUUAACUUCAU